AGCAGCCGCGGUAAUUCCAGCUCCAAUAGCGUAUAUUAAAGUUGUUGCAGUUAAAAAGCUCGUAGUUGAAUUUCGGGGUUAGUAGGUUGGUCAUGCCUCUGGUAUGUACUGGUCUCACUGAUUCCUCCUUCCUGAUGAACCUUAAUGCCAUUAAUUUGGUGUUGCAGGGAAUCUGGACUGUUACUUUGAAAAAAUUGAGUGUUUAAAGCAGGCUAACGCCUGAAUACAUUAGCAUGGAAUAAUGAAAUAGGACGUUCGAUCCUAUUUUGUUGGUUUCUAGGAUUGACGUAAUGAUUAAUAGGGAUAGUUGGGGGCAUUAGUAUUCAAUUGUCAGAGGUGAAAUUCUUGGAUUUAUUGAAGACUAACUACUGCGAAAGCAUUUGCCAAGGAUGUUUUCAUUAAUCAAGAACGAAAGUUAGGG
Molecule: ribosomal RNA, 421 nt
Filed under: uncultured Glomeromycotina
Lineage: Eukaryota; Fungi; Glomeromycota
Description: SSU rRNA
Rfam family: Eukaryotic small subunit ribosomal RNA
Source: RNAcentral